This 495-nucleotide ribosomal RNA is filed under the name uncultured bacterium. Its description in RNAcentral is "partial 16S ribosomal RNA". It matches the Rfam family "Bacterial small subunit ribosomal RNA", at positions 28 to 507 of the family's 1533-position model. The record is from RNAcentral.
GACGAACGCUGGCGGCGUGCCUAAUACAUGCAAGUAGAACGCUGAAGGAGGAGCUUGCUUCUCUGGAUGAGUUGCGAACGGGUGAGUAACGCGUAGGUAACCUGCCUGGUAGCGGGGGAUAACUAUUGGAAACGAUAGCUACUACCGCAUAAGAGUAGAUGUCGCAUGACAUUUGCUUAAAAGGUGCAAUUGCAUCACUACCAGAUGGACCUGCGUUGUAUUAGCUAGUUGGUGAGGUAACGGCUCACCAUGGCAACGAUACAUAGCCGACCUGAGAGGGUGAUCGGCCACACUGGGACUGAGACACGGCCCAGACUCCUACGGGAGGCAGCAGUAGGGAAUCUUCGGCAAUGGACGGAAGUCUGACCGAGCAACGCCGCGUGAGUGAAGAAGGUUUUCGGAUCGUAAAGCUCUGUUGUAAGAGAAGAACGAGUGUGAGAGUGGAAAGUUCACACUGUGACGGUAUCUUACCAGAAAGGGACGGCUAACUACGUG